AACCCAUGGUGAGGGCACCUUCUCAAUAGGUCCUUAUACAUUUCCCAUGCAUCGUAUAAAGUCUCUAAAUCCAUCUGCACGAAGGAAGAGAUAUCAUUCCUCAAUUU
Gossypium hirsutum (cotton) is the source of this 107-nucleotide non-coding RNA. NCBI's taxonomy places the organism in Eukaryota, Viridiplantae, Streptophyta, Magnoliopsida, Malvales, Malvaceae. The record is from Rfam.